GAUGAACGCUGGCGGCGUGCCUAAUACAUGCAAGUCGAGCGAACAGAUGAGGAGCUUGCUCCUCUGACGUUAGCGGCGGACGGGAGAGUAACACGUGGAUAACCUACCUAUAAGACUGGGAUAACUUCGGGAAACCGGAGCUAAUACCGGAUAAUAUAUUGAACCGCAUGGUUCAAUAGUGAAAGUCGGUUUUGCUGUCACUUAUAGAUGGAUCCGCGCCGCAUUAGCUAGUUGGUAAGGUAACGGCUUACCAAGGCAACGAUGCGUAGCCGAGCUGAGAGGGUGAUAGGCCACCUUGGAACUGAGACGCGGUCCAGACUCCUACGGGAGGCAGCAGUAGGGAAUCUUCCGCAAUGGUCGAAAGCCUGACGGAGCAACGCCGCGUGAGUGAUGAAGGUCUUCGGAUCGUAAAACUCUGUUAUUAGGGAAGAACAAAUGUGUAAGUAACUAUGCACGUCUUGACGGUACCUAAUCAGAAAGCCACGGCUAACUACGUG
RNAcentral lists this ribosomal RNA (497 nucleotides) under uncultured bacterium. Its description in RNAcentral is "partial 16S ribosomal RNA". It matches the Rfam family "Bacterial small subunit ribosomal RNA", at positions 28 to 507 of the family's 1533-position model. The record is from RNAcentral.